This 210-nucleotide ribosomal RNA is filed under the name uncultured bacterium. RNAcentral's name for it is "partial 16S ribosomal RNA". It matches the Rfam family "Bacterial small subunit ribosomal RNA", at positions 57 to 305 of the family's 1533-position model. The record is from RNAcentral.
GCAAGUCGAACGAUAUAGUGGCAGACGGGUGAGUAACGCGUGGAAACGUGCCUUUCACUACGGAAUAGUAUUUGGAAACGAAUAGUAAUACCGUAUACGCCCUCCGGGGGAAAGAUUUAUCGGUGAAAGAUCGGUCCGCGUUAGAUUAGCUAGUUGGUAGGGUAAUGGCCUACCAAGGCGACGAUCUAUAGCUGGUUUGAGAGGAUGAUC